GUCGACGAUGAACACUUCGGUGGGGAUUAGUGGCGAACGGGUGAGUAACACGUGGGCAAUCUGCCCUGCACUCUGGGACAAGCCCUGGAAACGGGGUCUAAUACCGGAUAUGAGCCUGGGAGGCAUCUCCCGGGUUGUAAAGCUCCGGCGGUGCAGGAUGAGCCCGCGGCCUAUCAGCUUGUUGGUGAGGUAAUGGCUCACCAAGGCGACGACGGGUAGCCGGCCUGAGAGGGCGACCGGCCACACUGGGACUGAGACACGGCCCAGACUCCUACGGGAGGCAGCAGUGGGGAAUAUUGCACAAUGGGCGAAAGCCUGAUGCAGCGACGCCGCGUGAGGGAUGACGGCCUUCGGGUUGUAAACCUCUUUCAGCAGGGAAGAAGCGAAAGUGACGGUACCUGCAGAAGAAGCGCCGGCUAACUACGUGCCAGCAGCCGCGGUAAUACGUAGGGCGCAAGCGUUGUCCGGAAUUAUUGGGCGUAAAGAGCUCGUAGGCGGCUUGUCACGUCGAUUGUGAAAGCCCGAGGCUUAACCUCGGGUCUGCAGUCGAUACGGGCUAGCUAGAGUGUGGUAGGGGAGAUCGGAAUUCCUGGUGUAGCGGUGAAAUGCGCAGAUAUCAGGAGGAACACCGGUGGCGAAGGCGGAUCUCUGGGCCAUUACUGACGCUGAGGAGCGAA
RNAcentral lists this ribosomal RNA (677 nucleotides) under Streptomyces sp. Its description in RNAcentral is "bacterial SSU rRNA". It matches the Rfam family "Bacterial small subunit ribosomal RNA", at positions 61 to 757 of the family's 1533-position model. The record is from RNAcentral. Lineage: Bacteria; Bacillati; Actinomycetota; Actinomycetes; Kitasatosporales; Streptomycetaceae.